This 942-nucleotide long non-coding RNA is filed under the name Gadus morhua (Atlantic cod). RNAcentral describes it as "lncRNA (ENSGMOG00000023862.1)". Lineage: Eukaryota; Metazoa; Chordata; Actinopteri; Gadiformes; Gadidae. The record is from RNAcentral.
UUUCCUUGAAGGGGUCAAGGGGACGUGGACGUGAAACCUCUCCCUUCACAACCACGGUGGUAGCAAAGGGUCUCACAGUCGGGGGUGACUUGGGAGGAGACACAGGCGGUGGUGUAACAGGCAGAGGUGACUGUAGCUGCUGAAAGGAGAAGUGCCACAGAAGCUUCGCGAGAAGCGGCAUCCCCAGAUCGUCACUCAGAAAAUGGCCGGAAAGUCCCCAGCGGACCUUCCAUCAUCAGACCACCCCGAGACAAUUGCUAUGAAGGCUGAAGCAAGCAUGAACUAUCACAUCUGUGUAGACGAAAUCUACACCAGGGAACAGAAGGUGGACCAUGCGUACUGGUUCGGUAUGCUGGUGUGCGAAAAGACCAUCCACUACACCGAGCGGGAGAAGGCACACAUAAAACAAGUGGAAUUCCUUCGGAGGGAGGUUGAAAGACGUGGCAAAAUUAUCCACCGAUUGGAACUGGACCUGGCGGCAUCCGAGGCCAGCUUGUCUGCCUCGCAGACAAAUCUGGACGCCACACAAAAUGAACUGGAUGACCUCCAACUUAUCAACGCCUCCCAAGAACACGACAACCAGAACCGCACAACCGCCUCCCAAGAUACGGAUUCGUCCCGGCCAUUGUGUUCGACAAUGAUUGACGACAUGGACGAGAACGGGAACGGAGAUCCACUACCAGGCCCCUGAAAACACUCCAGGCCCCUGUAAAUCGAAGAUAUUGUAAAUAGUGUGAUUCUUUUUAUAUAGUGUGGUGUUGUAAAUAGUGUGUUUUUUUUUAAUUGUAUACUCCAAUAAAAACUCAAACAUCUGAUAUUGUUUCAUAUUUACACAAAUUGCCCAUGCAAAAACGAAUGUUUCACAAUUCGUGUUCUUUUCUGUACUUGUGUGCCUGCGCUGGAACCGUCAAAUAUCCCAUGACGCAUAGGCUAUAUAGGGAC